Oncorhynchus tshawytscha (Chinook salmon) is the source of this 272-nucleotide long non-coding RNA. The record is from Ensembl. NCBI's taxonomy places the organism in Eukaryota, Metazoa, Chordata, Actinopteri, Salmoniformes, Salmonidae.
UGCGAGGCGAGCAGAGGCGAGUAGAGUAGAAUAGACAGGCGAGUAGAGUAGAGUAGAAUAGACAGGCGAGGCGAGUAGAGUAGAGUAGAAUAGACAGGCGAGUAGAGUAGAGUAGAGUAGAAUAGACAGGCGAGGCGAGUAGAGUAGACAAGACAGACAGGUGAGUAGACAGACAGGUGAGUAGACAAGACAGACGAGGUGAGGUGAGUAGACAAGACAGACGAGGUGAGGUAGAGUAGAGUAGAAUAGACAGGCGAGGCGAGGCGAGUAGA